RNAcentral lists this long non-coding RNA (217 nucleotides) under Elaeis guineensis (African oil palm). Its description in RNAcentral is "long non-coding RNA (EGUI_LNC005901)". Lineage: Eukaryota; Viridiplantae; Streptophyta; Magnoliopsida; Arecales; Arecaceae. The record is from RNAcentral.
CCGGUAUAUCUUGUGAUUCACUAUGUUAUUUAUCGAAGGGAUAGGAAUAAUAGAUAUAUAAUUUAUCAUUACAAGUUUUAUAUUCAGCUUCAGCUCCCCCGCUUGGGUUCCCACUUCAUUUUGGCAUAUCGUUUCCCACCGUUUCAUUCGAAUUCUGCCGGCAGCCAACCGCUGAUGUGGUCAGGUGGGGCAGAGCCGAGAGAGAAAAAAAGGAAAA